AACGAACGCUGGCGGCAGGCUUAACACAUGCAAGUCGAACGCCCUCUUCGGAGGGAGUGGCAGACGGGUGAGUAACGCGUGGGAACCUACCUUUAGGUACGGAAUAACAGUUAGAAAUGACUGCUAAUACCGUAUGUGCCCGAGAGGGGAAAGAUUUAUCGCCUAUAGAUGGGCCCGCGUUGGAUUAGCUAGUUGGUGAGGUAACGGCUCACCAAGGCGACGAUCCAUAGCUGGUUUGAGAGGAUGAUCAGCCACACUGGGACUGAGACACGGCCCAGACUCCUACGGGAGGCAGCAGUGGGGAAUCUUAGACAAUGGGGGCAACCCUGAUCUAGCCAUGCCGCGUGAGUGACGAAGGCCCUAGGGUCGUAAAGCUCUUUCGCCAGGGAUGAUAAUGACAGUACCUGGUAAAGAACCCGGUACUCCGUGCCAGCGCCGCGGUAA
Molecule: ribosomal RNA, 444 nt
Filed under: uncultured bacterium
Lineage: Bacteria
Description: bacterial SSU rRNA
Rfam family: Bacterial small subunit ribosomal RNA
Source: RNAcentral